UUAUUCCGCCCGGGGUGUGCUGUGAAAGCACUGAGAUGGUCGUCCGAACCCGCGAACUUGAUCCGGUUGAUACCGGCGUAAGAAGUGCCAAGCGUUGUGU
Molecule: non-coding RNA, 100 nt
Filed under: Comamonadaceae bacterium
Lineage: Bacteria; Pseudomonadati; Pseudomonadota; Betaproteobacteria; Burkholderiales; Comamonadaceae
Description: TPP sequence
Rfam family: TPP riboswitch aptamer (THI element)
About the family: Vitamin B(1) in its active form thiamin pyrophosphate (TPP) is an essential coenzyme that is synthesised by coupling of pyrimidine and thiazole moieties in bacteria. The previously detected thiamin-regulatory element, thi box was extended, resulting in a new, highly conserved RNA secondary structure, the THI element, which is widely distributed in eubacteria and also occurs in some archaea.
Source: RNAcentral